RNAcentral lists this ribosomal RNA (250 nucleotides) under uncultured bacterium. Its description in RNAcentral is "partial 16S ribosomal RNA". The record is from RNAcentral.
UAGAGUUUGAUCCUGGCUCAGGAAGUCGUAACAAGGUAGCCGUAGGUCGUAACAGGGUAACCAUAGAGUUUGAUAUGGCUCAGCGACUGGGGUGAAGUCGUAACAAGGUAGCCGUAAGUCGUAACAAGGUAGCCGGAAGUCGUAACAAGGUAACCGUAAGUCGUAACAAGGUAACCGUAGAGUUUGAUCCUGGCUCAGCCUUUGACUUAAAAAAAUGGAGAAGUCGUAACAAGGUAACCGUAAAUCUGAA